This 1477-nucleotide long non-coding RNA is filed under the name Homo sapiens (human). RNAcentral's name for it is "non-protein coding lnc-FANK1-4:2". The record is from RNAcentral. Lineage: Eukaryota; Metazoa; Chordata; Mammalia; Primates; Hominidae.
AUUGUUCUAGGCUUUGGGGAUAUGGGAAUGAAGAGAACAAAAAAAUCUCAGCCCUCAUGGAGCUUGCAUUCAGUGGGGCCAACAGAUAAUAGGCAAGCUAAGGGAACAGAAUGAGUUAGAAAGAGUAGAAUUAAGGAGAAAAAAAUAAAAGAGCAAGGGAAGAGGGUGUGUAUUGAACUUUUAGGGACAGUGGACCUCACCAGGAAACCUCACCAGUAAGAGGGUCAUUUGAGCCCCUCACCCGAAGGGAAGAAGGUGUGAGUGCACCUCGGGAAAGAGCUGGUACAAGUGUCUGCAGACAGGACUGGCCUGGAGGAACUUACUCAACAGUGGGAAACAGUCUGCUCUUCCUGCAGACACACACCCAGAGAGGCAACCCAUUUUCUACUUGGCAUCAUUCUUAGAUAGGUCAAGGUCAUGCUGAUGGUGAGAAGAUCCCAUGGAGUGUCAAUACACUGGGAGCUGUGCCUCUGUAUGGGCCAGGCACUGGGAAUGACUGAAGGAGACAAAUCCUGCUGUGAUCCCACAUAUGCCUGGACCAGUGGUUCUCAAAGUGUGCUCCCAGGACAAGCAGCACCAGGAACUUUCUAGAAAUGCACAUUCUCAAGCCCCACUCAGACCUACUAAGUCAGAAAACUCAAGACCAAAAUGGAGUUUUGUUUUUCUCCUGACAGCAGAUGCCACAGAUUGGGCAGACCCAGGAGGCUCUUCUUUACCUGGGCGUGUGGUGAGAACUCAAGUCCGAAGCCUAUGUCUGAGCAGCCUAUCUGUACUUCAUUGAGCCUCUGUUUUCACAUCUAUAAAAUAGGGAUAACAACUACCUCAUUGCACUGAAGUGGAGGCUAAACGAGCUUCAAACAAAAAGAUCAAAGUCUGGUUAACUUCCAAGCACUGUGAAAUGCUAGCUCCUAGUACUGACAGGCAAAAGAUGUGUCUUUCUUUCUCCCAUUGGGAGUUGCCCUGACUGCGAAUCCCCCCGUAUAUGAUAGUGCUCAAGAACAUUUCCAAUAUGGUAUAGAAUGUAGUACUUGUAGCCAAAAUAGAGCACGCUUUACACUGUAAAACCACAAAUACAAGUAAAUUUGAGAGCAAGAUGAUUCAGGAGGCGAAGGGAUGAGCAAACAGUUAAAGAUCAUUCCCUCCGUUUAAUACAUAGAUGGUGUCAAAGAAGCAAAACAGCCUGUUCCAUUCUGGAAGGGCCAGUUUUUCUUUAGCUCAACAAGAGCAUGUAGUUAGGAGCACAACCAACCAAUGAAGCAAUCCACAAACAAAACAAAAACGCCAUUUAGAUGGCUGUUACCUGCUACGCAGCUGUGGUUGUCUUCUGUUCCUGAAAGCUUUUUUCUGGCCCUUUUCAUAAAGCUCAUGUCACAUGAGCUCACCCCACAUCUUCCGUCCAUUUCCUGGCCACAGCCAAGUCCAGGCACUGAGCUCAGAGUGAGACGUGGCCACAAAUUGUGGGAUCCAUUCUCUGGAG